This 710-nucleotide ribosomal RNA is filed under the name Phytophthora citricola. RNAcentral describes it as "eukaryotic LSU rRNA". It matches the Rfam family "Eukaryotic large subunit ribosomal RNA", at positions 81 to 618 of the family's 3401-position model. Lineage: Eukaryota; Oomycota; Peronosporomycetes; Peronosporales; Peronosporaceae. The record is from RNAcentral.
UAGUAACGGCGAGUGAAGCGGGAAGAGCUCAAGCUUAAAAUCUCCGUGCAAGUUUUGCGCGGCGAAUUGUAGUCUAUAGAGGCGUGGUCAGCGUGGGCGCUUGGGGCAAGUUCCUUGGAAGAGGACAGCAUGGAGGGUGAUACUCCCGUUCAUCCCUGAGUGGCUCGUGCGUACGACCCGUUUUCUUUGAGUCGCGUUGUUUGGGAAUGCAGCGCAAAGUAGGUGGUAAAUUCCAUCUAAAGCUAAAUAUUGGUGCGAGACCGAUAGCGAACAAGUACCGUGAGGGAAAGAUGAAAAGAACUUUGAAAAGAGAGUUAAAGAGUACCUGAAACUGCUGAAAGGGAACCGAAUCGUUUCCAGUGUCUAUAAUCUGUGGCAUAUUUCAUUGGCGAGCGUUUGCGUGCGUGUGCUGUGGCAGUGGCUUUUUUGGCUGCGCCCGGUGUGUGUGCUGUGAGUGUUUGCUGGUGCCCUGUGCUGCGGUGGGACGUCAAGGUCAGUUCGUAUGCUGCGGGAAAUGGCUGCCGAGGAGGUAGGGCUUACGCUCCGCGUUUGUCUGUUAUAUCUUGGUGGACGAGUCGUCGCGGUUGGGACUGAGGUGCCUACAACGUGCUUUUGAGUGGGUUUGUGUCUCCGUGUGCGCCGUGUGCGGAUAGCUUGCUAUGCGUGUGUGGUUGUGUGUGGAUGGAUGCGGGCCUUAACUGUCGCCGUUC